CUUGACUCUAGUCUGGCACUGUAAGGAGACAUGAGAGGUGUAGCAUAAGUGGGAGACUCCUUACGGUGUCGAAAGUGAAAUACCACUACUUUCAUCGUUUCCUUACUUACUUGGUGAGGCGGAAAGCGUGCAUGGUUCCCUGUGUUCCAUGCACGGUAUUCUAGAACCACGACCGUGAUGGUCACAACUUAUCCCGGUUAAUCCGAUCCAAGGACACUGCCAGGCC
The sequence is a ribosomal RNA, 226 nucleotides long. It matches the Rfam family "Eukaryotic large subunit ribosomal RNA", at positions 2421 to 2614 of the family's 3401-position model.